Molecule: long non-coding RNA, 829 nt
Filed under: Homo sapiens (human)
Lineage: Eukaryota; Metazoa; Chordata; Mammalia; Primates; Hominidae
Description: non-protein coding lnc-LPCAT1-4:17
Source: RNAcentral
ACCGCCCCAGCCCCGGGCGGCCCUGGGCCUGCUGCGGGCGCGGCGCUGCCCGACCAGAGCUUCCUGUGGAACGUCUUCCAGAGGGUCGAUAAAGACAGGAGUGGAGUGAUAUCAGACACCGAGCUUCAGCAAGCUCUCUCCAACGGCACGUGGACUCCCUUUAAUCCAGUGACUGUCAGGUCGAUCAUAUACUACACUGAAGGCUGGUUACGCUCUUAUGUGCAAUAGAACCUCAAACACAUCGUAACACACCUUUGGAGAAUCCUUACAAGAACACCAAGUUAACAGUUAUCUCUGACCACACUACCUCAGCAAAAAACCAGGAAGAAAAAAUAUUCUUCAACCCUUUUCAGGGACAGAAAGCAUCAUUUCAAAAGUCCAAGAAGGGAAGGUCCUGAGGCACGUGAAUGGCCAGGAUCAGAUUGUGCCCGGCCUGUACGCCUGUGGGGAGGCCGCCUGUGCCUCGGUACAUGGUGCCAAUCGGCUCGGGGCAAACUCGCUCUUGGACUUGGUUGUCUUUGGUCAGGCAUGUGCCCUGAGCAUCGAAGAGUCAUGCAGGCCUGGAGAUAAAGUCCCUCCAAUUAAACCAAACGCUGGGGAAGAAUCUGUCAUGAAUCUUGACAAAUUGAGAUUUGCUGAUGGAAGCAUAAGAACAUGAGAACUGCGACUCAGCAUGCAGAAGUGCCGCUGGGUUAGGGUCUCCACAACCGAGCUGGUCUCAGCAAGUGGCGCCCACACAUGGGGGCUCGAAUCCAGGUCGAAGGGUCACCGGAGCGACAGAAAACUUGGAACUAAGCUGGAGGACACCGAGUACUCUUAUGCAGUCCCC